GUUUGUGGCUCAGUGGUAGAGCACUUGCUUAGCAUGUGUGAGGCACUGGGUUCAAUCCUCAGCAGCACA
Molecule: transfer RNA, 69 nt
Filed under: Marmota monax (woodchuck)
Lineage: Eukaryota; Metazoa; Chordata; Mammalia; Rodentia; Sciuridae
Description: tRNA.Ala
Rfam family: tRNA (bases 4-64)
About the family: Transfer RNA (tRNA) molecules are approximately 80 nucleotides in length. Their secondary structure includes four short double-helical elements and three loops (D, anti-codon, and T loops).
Source: RNAcentral